UCUAUUUGCGAAACUUUUGGCACAGAUAGAUCAUCGGAGCAUUGUCAUAAGAGAUCCAAUCCGGUACCAUCAUUUUCAGGAUGGUAUUUGUUCCUGCGGAGAUUAUUGGUAGUAGAGAGAAUGGACUUCAGUUGAGUAUGAUAAACUACCUAGUAAAUUUGCUUUCGAUAGACUUAUAAGCUUCACUAUUUACAUUAAAUACAUCAUAUCACUUUCCCCCAUGUUUUAUAUGUUUUUCCCGCAGAUGUAGUAACACUUGCAGAAAUAGUGGCAACUAUGAAGCUCAAAGUACUGGUUUCAUGCAUCAACAGUUGGGUUGACAAGAAUGCACUCGCUGCUAAACUUGCAUUUGCGUUGGCAGCUAUGAGUUUCUAGGCUGUCAAGCAAACUUACGGAAGACACCCCUACCCAUGAAGGUAUGCAGCCGCUGAGCAAAAUUCCCAAGUUUCAGCAAAAAUUCAUCUUUUUGUGACUGUUCAAGCCUAUGUGAUCUUUUGAAGGUUUUAUCCAUCUU
This 514-nucleotide long non-coding RNA is filed under the name Nicotiana benthamiana. RNAcentral's name for it is "long non-coding RNA (NBEN_LNC017639)". Lineage: Eukaryota; Viridiplantae; Streptophyta; Magnoliopsida; Solanales; Solanaceae. The record is from RNAcentral.